CUUGCAUGGCUGCCUUCAUGGAAUGGAGUGUCAGCGUGGGUGUCCAUCCAUGAGAACCAGCAACUUAGGAAACCGUUGGAACGACUGAGUGAGGAAGAUUGGCCCUGAGCUAACAGCACAGCUUGAUGAGAGUGCCUCUGCUCCUCGGGACGGAGGGAACACGGGAGAGGGAGACCUCUGGCGGCGGCGGCUGCCCGCAAUGCACUGUCGGGGAGUCCCCGAGGGAGGAAACGACUUAAAGCAGUUACUCCCUGAAAGUCUGCUUGCAAAGGAAGCUAAAUUUACUGUGAGGAUUCAGGCUAUAGUUUUUUUGUAGACUUUAUUUUUUAGAGCAGUUUUAGGUUCCCAGCAAAAUGGGCGGAAAGUACAGAGCUCCCCUAUGCUGUCCCCCACCCCCAGCCACAGCUUCCCUCGCUGUGGACAUACCCCCGGGAGAGCGGUACGUUUGUUACAAUCAACAAGUUACAGUGACACAUCAUUAUCACUCAGAGUCCAUAGUUUACUUUAGGGCUCAGGCGUGGUGGUGUACGUUCUGUGGGUUUGAUAAAUGUUUAAUGACAUGUCUCCACCAUAGUAGUUCCAUCCAGAGUAGUUUCACUGCCCUAAAAUGCUCUGUGUCCGCCUAGUCAUCCCUCCCUUCCCCGAACUCCUGGCAACCACUGAUCUUUUUACUGUCUCCAUAGUUUUGCCUUUUCCAGAAUGUCAUCUAGUUGGUGUCAUGCAGUUUGCAGCCUUUCAGAUUGGCUUGUUUCACUUAGCAAUAGGCAUUCAAGUUCCUCCAUGUCUUUUCAUGGCUUGAUAUCUCAUUUCCUUUUAAUGUUGAAUAGUAUUCC
This is a long non-coding RNA of Equus quagga, 833 nucleotides long. RefSeq lists it as uncharacterized. The transcript has 4 exons. Lineage: Eukaryota; Metazoa; Chordata; Mammalia; Perissodactyla; Equidae. The record is from RefSeq and is a predicted model, not a curated record.